This 1269-nucleotide long non-coding RNA is filed under the name Cyanistes caeruleus (blue tit). RNAcentral describes it as "lncRNA (ENSCCEG00000000016.1)". Lineage: Eukaryota; Metazoa; Chordata; Aves; Passeriformes; Paridae. The record is from RNAcentral.
AACCUGAUUUUUUCUUUUUUAAGAGAUAUACCUUUUUUUUUUCCCCGAAACUAGUUUGAGCUGGUUUGAAAAUGAAGUGUUACGCAUUAUUUUAAUCUGAGUGAAAAUCUUUCAUUGUUUUCACAGAUACUUCAGCUUGAGCCAGCCAGCCUGAGCCCUUUGCCAACCUGAAUAUAAGCUUCCCCUGCACCCCACCCCAGAGGAACUUAGAUGCCUGGAUUUAGCCCACAGACUCUCGCUGGACUAUUUAGAAAAUAGUGAUCUAAUAAUGAAACUUUAAGUCCAAAAAGAGGACUAAAUGCCUCAAAUGGCAUUCAGGGGCUGUACUGUGAAUCUCGUGGGGCAGUUCUCUGAGGGGAUGGCCUGAAGCCCUCAUCUCCUUUGGGGAGGAAGCGUGUCACAUCCUAUAGACACUGACACGCUCUCUUCCUUGACAGUAACUCCUCAGGGGACAUCGGACUGACUGCCACGAGUGCUCUUCCUAAACAGCUUCUGGAGCCUUUGUCUUCUAGGGAAAAAUGUCAAAGUGCUAACAGCUUCUAGGUUCUGUGAAGGCGAGACUCUGCUAUUUGAGUCCCACAGCCACAAAAUGCUGCUCUCAAAUUCCCUUGUCCCCUGAUUUUACAUGAUGGUGGUAAGACAAUAUGAACACUGUGAACUCAUUGAUGAGUGUCACCAUCUCAGUUCUCCCCAGGUGCCACUUAGAAACAAAUUUAAAAAUGAGGCAGAACUACUGCAUCAAUAGUUUCAGUACCAGUAAUAAAAGAGCAAAAAUAAUAAAGCCAGUGGAUUAGAAAACUGCUAAAACUAGUCUAGAGCAGACAGCAUUUACCCAAGGAACAGGUUCCAUGAAUACAAGGAAAUAAAUGGAGCUGGACAGAACCCAGUAUUCAUUUUGAAACCCAUUUUGAACCCAGCUGGGACAGAACCCAGUAUUCAUUUUGAAACAGCAGUGCCAUAAAACAAGACUACAGAAGAGAGCAAUCCUUCUGUCAACUGCUAAGCACCAAGGUGAGCAGACAUCAGCUUCAUUUAGCUCACCAAAGCCUCAGCAAUGGGUGUUAUUUAGACAUUUCACAGAAAACCUGGCAAGCAGGACAUCUCUAGCUGAAAAAAGAUUGAAGAGAACCAAAAGCCUAGCUCAGAAGAGAGUUCCUGAGAAGGAUAUAACCUCUCUGCCUGGUUGCCCUCCUACAUUCUUGAAGGAAAGAAUGCAAAAGUCGGGGAACAACAUUUUCUAAAGAAAAAACAUAUGGUUGUUUUUCAUCC